GUGAAGCUCUGAGACUGUGUAAAGAAAGGAAAAGAUUUAUAAAACAAGCAGUUGAUUCUAGGUAUGCAUUAGCAGCUGCUCAUGUUUCGUAUGUUGAAUCUUUGAGAAAUAUAGGCAUUGCUCUUAGGAGAUAUGCGGAGGCUGAAGUGUUGAUAGAAUCAUCUCUAUCAACUUCAGCUACUGAGCUUGAUAAAACUCCGUCACACUCGUCGUAUCCAUCACCUUCACCAUCUCACGUUGGUGGGGUUUCAGAUUCUCCUGUUCUAAAUGGAAGCCCCCUUUCACCUCCUAUUGCUACUAGGUUGAGUUACAUGAGGUCUGCUGGACCUACUGCUGUCACUGUUAAGGUGAGUCCAUCUUCAACCAAUAUGUACGUAGAUGAUGUUGAUUUCUCAACCCCAUUACCCCCACCCCCGCCUCCAGAUUCAGGGUCUUGGGAUUUUUUUGACCCUACAGAUAAUGAGAGCUUUA
RNAcentral lists this unclassified non-coding RNA (471 nucleotides) under Hevea brasiliensis (rubber tree). Lineage: Eukaryota; Viridiplantae; Streptophyta; Magnoliopsida; Malpighiales; Euphorbiaceae. The record is from RNAcentral.